GCCUUAGUAGCUCAGUUGGUACGAGCGUGAGACUGAAGAUCUUAAGGUCGCUGGUUCGAUCCCGGCCUGAGGCA
Transfer RNA from Dictyostelium discoideum AX4, 74 nucleotides. It matches the Rfam family "tRNA". Rfam says of the family: Transfer RNA (tRNA) molecules are approximately 80 nucleotides in length. NCBI's taxonomy places the organism in Eukaryota, Evosea, Eumycetozoa, Dictyosteliales, Dictyosteliaceae. The record is from Rfam.